Molecule: ribosomal RNA, 299 nt
Filed under: Bacillus cereus
Lineage: Bacteria; Bacillati; Bacillota; Bacilli; Caryophanales; Bacillaceae
Description: partial 16S ribosomal RNA
Rfam family: Bacterial small subunit ribosomal RNA
Source: RNAcentral
UUUAUUGGAGAGUUUGAUCCUGGCUCAGGAUGAACGCUGGCGGCGUGCCUAAUACAUGCAAGUCGAGCGAAUGGAUUAAGAGCUUGCUCUUAUGAAGUUAGCGGCGGACGGGUGAGUAACACGUGGGUAACCUGCCCAUAAGACUGGGAUAACUCCGGGAAACCGGGGCUAAUACCGGAUAACAUUUUGAACCGCAUGGUUCGAAAUUGAAAGGCGGCUUCGGCUGUCACUUAUGGAUGGACCCGCGUCGCAUUAGCUAGUUGGUGAGGUAACGGCUCACCAAGGCAACGAUGCGUAGC